AUCACUUCUCGGCCUUUUGGCUAAGAUCAAGUGUAGUACAACAUCUUGGUGUCCCUGAGGGAAUAGUGGACUUAAUUAAGAACAUUUAUACUAAUGCAUCAACUGAAGUUAACACUCCAU
Paramuricea clavata is the source of this 120-nucleotide non-coding RNA. The record is from the annotation of a GenBank genome assembly. NCBI's taxonomy places the organism in Eukaryota, Metazoa, Cnidaria, Anthozoa, Malacalcyonacea, Plexauridae.